GGUGGAACAGGGAGGACACAAGGAGUGGCUCCUGCGUCAGGUGUGCUGAGCCCCUGCUGCAGUAACCUGCACGGUCAGUCUCUGAAGUUCUCUAUAUCGGAAAGGUGGAUGGUGAGAUAACGACGGGAGACAUUUACAAAUCGUAUAUCCAGCAAACACCUCGCCUGCACUCCAUACAAUGCGUACGAGUGUGUAUAACCCACGCUGAAACCCCAGGAAUGAAUGGUGUCGGGAGCUUGAUCUUCCUUCCCAGCUCUGGUGUCAGGCUGAAAUGACUCAAUCGAAGCCAAACGCGUUACAUCGGGGUAUCGAACUGAGCCAGCGAACGUGCCUCAUGCCCAUGCAGGUGCCACAGAGCAUGGCAGCACAGAGAGGGGUGUAGCUGUGAGCACACCUAGGGCACUCCAGAGCCCCAGGCCCUGGGCAGCUCCGCAGGCAGUGCAGCACUGUGCUGAGCCAAGGGCCAGGGCAUCGCUGCCACCUGCCCCGCAGCUCCCUCCAUGCCACAGCCAAACUUCACAGCUGCACUCAUCCACCAGCACAGACCCGGAUCAAAUGACAGUGACAAAACUAUUUGCCUUUAGAGACACCUGGUAAAAUGGACAGGGGCGAGUUCCCCUGAGCUGGAUGUUUCUGUCCAGCCUGGGCUUAGUGGGGCCACGCUGCUCCAGCCAGACGUUGAUGCUUCCUUCCACAACCCCAAGCUAUAACGCUACCUCUGCUAUUUCCAGUGGAACUUUACAUAAUGAAGAAGAGCCCCUCAUAAGCCUGAACUGAAACACCGGGAGACACUCUUCAGAUCUUAUUUCUCCCCUCUGCCCCUGCACUCCUAUUCAGUACUGCUGGGUAUCCGAUUCAGGCACAUGCGUGGCAUUUUAAUUCAUUAUUUAUCCACACUGUCUCAAAUGGUAGCACUUUGACAAUAAUCAACGCAUCUCGAGUGGGAGGCUGCACAGCUGGGAGCAGCAUGAGGAUGCCCAGAAAGCGGAGAACAGUUCCCUGCCACAGGGGGGUGAGGAGAGGCAAGGGAUAGGUGUAAGGGACCGCAAUAGGAUAAAAAUAAAGCAAAUUAAACGUGUGGGUUUGGAAUCCCCCAAGACAUUCUGGUCGAGAGGACGGGUCUCUAACCCGCAUGCAGUUCCAGCUGAGAGCACCACGUUAACCUCCCUUUCCUGCCGUUCAGUUCACGAACUGCUCUAACGCCAGCAAUCGGUUUUUGCCCCCUAUUAAACUUGGAGGCUAAGAACGAGGCACGGCUGAUUUUCGGAAAGCUCAGGCUCAAUUUCCCGGGAGGAAAAAAAAAGGAGAGGUGCGUGUGCGGGGCAGCUCUGCCCACACCGCCACACGGCUCUCACGGUCCGGGCAAGUUGGCGGCGCCCCCCCCGGCGGGGAGCCCCGGCAGAGCCCAGCACGACCCCAGCGCACCCGCGGAGCCCCCGGGGCCGGCAGCGCUGCCCCCGCCGUGCCCCCCCGGCUCUGCCCGGGACCCCCCGGCUCUGCACGUCGCCACCAGCAGCGUGCCCGAGCUGGGGUUCUAUUGAUUGAUUUUUUUAUUUUUCCCCUCCACUGCGCUCCCACCCCCGCCGGCGCGGCUCGGGUGGGCGCCCCCCGGCCGGGCGAUCUAUAUUCUGGAAGAGACAGAGUUGUGGACCCAUCUUCUCAAGGACCCUAAGCUAUUUUGUCUAGCAGAGAGUUAACCCCAGCAUUCUGCAUUCUGUUUCUCACAGCACACUUUCUUCUGAAAUUCCCUCUGUUGCCCCAAACAGAUGAGAGAUUCUCCUUUAUAAAGUGUAGCACACUGGUGUCUCCCUGUGGCUGCCAAACAGAGGAUGAAGUCCUGUCCUCAGCUGAAGUCAAUGGCAAAAGUGUCACGGACCCUUGAUGAGGCCCGGGUCUCGUGCAAAAUGUUUAACCUUAUCAGUAAUGGAUGAAGUGAUUGCUCUAUGGCCAAUUCCAUCCUAACCCCUCCACUGCUACAAAGACGCCUAAGCUGUGUAUAGUUCCCAUUGAUUCGUCUGACUUUUGUAUGAUGUAGUUUUCCAUUUUUUUAGAGUAUUUUGAGAUCUCUGUAAAUGAGAACUAUAAAUAUGCUAUCAAAAUUAAUUAGUUCUUAAGCUUUCAUAUGCAACAUGAUAUUUCACUUCCGAUUUGCCUCCAGCGCAGGAUGUGUACAUGAUGUAAUUCAGUCCUCAUUUCGCAUUCACAAGUGUGCUCUUAUUACUGUGCCAUGGCUCAGGAAGACUCCAAGUACCGAAGGCACAGGAUCCCUCAGUAUGAUUCAAGCUGAGCAAUAAAUAGGUCCCCAUUCUGUAAAUGGAUGAAACUUCUUUAGACAAGAAAUUUCUCCUAUUCCCACGGGCCUCCUAAAGAUAUAAUUUUUGAUUCCUAGAUACAGGGUGAAUAUCCUUUUCAGAAAGCUGAUCUAGCAACCAAGCGUAUGUACCCAGUCUGCAUUGUGAAAGGGAAAAAAGCUCACAGGUCUCUUCCUCUCUCUCAGUGUUUCUGUUCUCUUCUUUUGUUUGGCUUUCACUAUUGUCAUCUUUUGCCACUCUAUUUUAUUUUAUAUAUAACUUUAUUUCAGGAAAACUGCUGCUUAGUCUUUUUGAACUAUUAUACUUCAAGACAGUCUUCUCCCUAUUUCCCGUGGCAGAUAGUAUUAAAUAAAAUAUUUAACACUGUGAUUUUGUCUUUUUUUUUCAACUAGACUGAUGAAAUCUGCAUUUUUUUACUAUAACAGAACCAUGCCAUUUUCCCCCCCCCCCCCCUUUUUUUUUUUUUUCCCUCCUUUGACAAAUAACAAACCAUUUUCAUGCUUUAAAUGUUAUCCAGAAAUUUAACCAAAGAAGGCUAUGGGGAAUUCUUCAUUUUUACAUUUGAAACAGAGAAUUAAUUUUCAACUUCCCCAGAUGGCUGGGGAAUUAAUGGAAUUAUAAUAUCAUUGGAUAUAAAAUUUUAAAGAUGAGUAACUGAGAAAAGAAAGAAUUUUAAGUCAGACUGUUGAAAAUGCUCCGAUUUAUGAUUUUUGUUGUUAACACCUACUUAAUCCAAUACCUAAUAAACAAUUUGGAGAAGGAAUCCAAAGGGAUCUAUUUGUUUAAAAAAAUCAACACUCCUGUCCUUUCAAUUAAAAUGUCAGAGCUCACAAUAAACAUCUGAGACCUUCAACAAGUCCUCCAGCAAGGCAGAAGAAAACCCAAAGCUGACAUAUUCAUGGGAUUUCUAAGACAAAAGCAGUUCUCCACUCCGCUGUCCUCCAGACAUAAACCAAAAUAAUCCCAGAGCAAUCGUUUAGGACUGCUUUCUGCGUCUUUAAAAGCAAAAAGGAUAAGGGCAUUUUUAAAAGCGUUUUGUCAAUCAUCUAUAAAAGAGUAGGCUGAACGUUCUCUUCGUAUUCUUUGCAGUUUAUUCUUGUAUGUAUAAUUACUUGGUGCCAGGAAGCUCCUGUCUAAGUGUAGUAAUAGAAGGUAUACAAGCAGUUUCUAUCUAACUUUCAAAAAGGUUGGCCUGUAAAAUAUGCAAAUAUCAGCUUAAAGCAGAUUUUUAUGUAAAUGUAAAGAGCUGUCAUCAUCACACUCUGGUAGAUGCUGCCUUCUCAAUGAAGACAAAUAUACAGCUAACGAAAAAC
This is a long non-coding RNA of Oxyura jamaicensis (ruddy duck), 3625 nucleotides long. RefSeq lists it as uncharacterized. The transcript is spliced from 2 exons. The record is from RefSeq and is a predicted model, not a curated record. NCBI's taxonomy places the organism in Eukaryota, Metazoa, Chordata, Aves, Anseriformes, Anatidae.